UACAUAGGGGGCGAGCGUUAUCCGGAAUUAUUGGGCGUAAAGGGUACGUAGGCGGGCCUGCAAGUCUGAUUUGAAAGCACACGGCUUAACCGUGUGAGGUAAUUAGAAACUACGAGUCUAGAGAGUGGUAGAGGUAAAUGGAAUUCCAAGUGGAGCGGUGAAAUGCGUAGAGAUUUGGAGGAACACCAGUGGCGAAGGCGGUUUACUGGGCCACAUCUGACGCUGAUGUACGAAAGCGUGGGUAGCAAACAGGAUUAGAUACCCGGGUAGUCCCUGAG
Molecule: ribosomal RNA, 278 nt
Filed under: uncultured prokaryote
Description: partial 16S ribosomal RNA
Rfam family: Bacterial small subunit ribosomal RNA
Source: RNAcentral